Molecule: ribosomal RNA, 689 nt
Filed under: uncultured bacterium
Lineage: Bacteria
Description: bacterial SSU rRNA
Rfam family: Bacterial small subunit ribosomal RNA
Source: RNAcentral
UCUGCCCAUCAGACGGGGACAACGAUUGGAAACGAUCGCUAAUACCGGAUAGGACGAAAGUUAAAGGUGCUUCUGGCACCGCUGAUGGAUGAGCCUGCGGCGCAUUAGCUAGUUGGUAGGGUAAAGGCCUACCAAGGCGACGAUGCGUAGCCGACCUGAGAGGGUGAACGGCCACACUGGGACUGAGACACGGCCCAGACUCCUACGGGAGGCAGCAGUAGGGAAUCUUCGGCAAUGGGCGAAAGCCUGACCGAGCAACGCCGCGUGAAUGAUGAAGGCCUUCGGGUUGUAAAAUUCUGUUAUAAGGGAAGAACGACUUUAGUAGGAAAUGGCUAGAGUGUGACGGUACCUUAUGAGAAAGCCACGGCUAACUACGUGCCAGCAGCCGCGGCAAUACGUAGGUGGCGAGCGUUAUCCGGAAUUAUUGGGCGUAAAGAGCGCGCAGGUGGUUGAUUAAGUCUGAUGUGAAAGCCCACGGCUUAACCGUGGAGGGUCAUUGGAAACUGGUCGACUUGAGUGCAGAAGAGGGAAGUGGAAUUCCAUGUGUAGCGGUGAAAUGCGUAAAGAUAUGGAGGAACACCAGUGGCGAAGGCGGCUUCCUGGUCUGUAACUGACACUGAGGCGCGAAAGCGUGGGGAGCAAACAGGAUUAAAUACCCUGGUAGUCCACGCCGUAAACGAUGAUUGCUA